AUGGAAGACCUUGACGAUUCCAACUCAAAACCUGAUUCUGCCAGGAGGAGAAAAAUAGACAGCAAUAACAGCACUGAGAUGGUGGCGGAUACAGACGAUACGGACAAUCCACAACAUUCGGUGUCGAUCCCAGAUCAAACGGAGGAACCUCGCCAAGCCGAGGUGACCCCUGUAAAUAAUGGCAAGGCUAAACAACCUCAUUUAGAAGAGCCUCUUUUCCCGGGUAUAAUCUGUACAUUCAGGGAAAAUCUAGUACAAAUUUUCAAAAAUCAGUCGUAUUUAAUAUCGCAAAUGAUCAAAUAUAUUUUAAAUGUAGCUUUAAUCGCAUACCUAGCAGCAGCUGUUUAUCACUGGAAUAAAACAGUUUCAGAUAAACAUAUAAACUGGUGCAAUGGCUUAGGAAUACUUCUGAUCAUUGUAGGUUUACUUUAUUGGAUCUUAUUCUACUAUAAGUUCAUAGUUCCAUUCAUCUUUCCCGCCUUUGCACCAUAUAUUAAUUCAAUCUCAGAAACAAAAAUUUACAAAGCCGUAAGCAGGUAA
Molecule: long non-coding RNA, 540 nt
Filed under: Bemisia tabaci
Lineage: Eukaryota; Metazoa; Arthropoda; Insecta; Hemiptera; Aleyrodidae
Description: lncRNA ENSSSA1NGG014547
Source: RNAcentral